GACGAACGCUGGCGGCGUGCUUAACACAUGCAAGUCGAACGAGUGGCGAACGGGUGAGUAACACGUGGGUGAUCUGCCUUGCACUUCGGGAUACGCUUGGGGAACUGGGUCUAAUACCGGGUAGUGCAAGAUGAGCUCGCGGCCUAUCAGCUUGUUGGUGGGGUAAUGGCUACCAAGGCGCGACGGGGAGCCAGCCUGGGAGGGUGUACGGCCACAGUGGUACUGGGAAAGUGGCCAGACGCAUACGGGAGGCAUGGGUGGAGGAUAUUGGGCAAUGGGCGGAAGCAUUGUGGAGGGACGCCGGGUGGGGAAUGAAUGCCUUCGGGUUGGAAAGUCCUUUCGACAGGGACGCGGUACCUGAAUAAGAAGCACCGGCUAACUACGUGCCAGCAGCCGCGGUAAUAC
RNAcentral lists this ribosomal RNA (405 nucleotides) under uncultured bacterium. RNAcentral describes it as "partial 16S ribosomal RNA". It matches the Rfam family "Bacterial small subunit ribosomal RNA", at positions 28 to 526 of the family's 1533-position model. The record is from RNAcentral.